UACGUAGGGGGCAAGCGUUGUCCGGAUUUAUUGGGCGUAAAGAGCGUGUAGGCGGCCAGAUAGGUCCGUUGUGAAAACUGGAGGCUUAACCUCCAGCGGUCGAUGGAAACCAUUUGGCUAGAGUCCGGAAGAGGAGAGUGGAAUUCCUGGUGUAGCGGUGAAAUGCGUAGAGAUGCGGAGGAACACCGAUGGCGAAGGCAGCCCCCUGGGCUAACACUGACGCUCAGGCACGAAAGCGUGGGGAGCAAACAGG
RNAcentral lists this ribosomal RNA (253 nucleotides) under uncultured bacterium. RNAcentral describes it as "partial 16S ribosomal RNA". It matches the Rfam family "Bacterial small subunit ribosomal RNA", at positions 524 to 776 of the family's 1533-position model. The record is from RNAcentral.